AUGCUGCAACUGGAUUAUAGAGUGGGGGAGUCUCUGAAGAGAAGAAAAAGUUGCAAGAAAGCAGCAGCACCUGGGCAGAGUUUGCUAAAAGUCUGUCUUCUUCUGCAGUGUCUUGAAUGCUGUUGCUGUGUGGCUUUUCCAAGGACCUGGCAGUUUUCUGGAGCACUGGAGGAUUCCACAGGAGCUGCCCCCAGAUGCCUUCUGCAUUGCCUGGACCUGGUGCUUCCAGCUGUCAGCUCUGGAGCUGAUAUAGCAGCCCUGUGUUUGAGCAGCUGCAGCCCCGGGAAAGUUGUCUUACAGAGUGAAAGGACACCCAGGCUUCUGGCAGAACUGCCAGGUGGCCUCACAGGAGGUUUGGCUUCUGUCAGCAGCCAGCAUAGAAGCCCUGAGGACACAGCUGGACAGUUUUCUGCAUAA
RNAcentral lists this long non-coding RNA (417 nucleotides) under Anser cygnoides (Swan goose). RNAcentral describes it as "lncRNA (ENSACDG00005011219.1)". Lineage: Eukaryota; Metazoa; Chordata; Aves; Anseriformes; Anatidae. The record is from RNAcentral.